CUCCAAGAUCAUAUCUCAUCUUGAACUACCGCCACUCCUAGCCAUUGCCUCCGGUCGUAUCCACCUCCGCCGCUGCCGCCUCUUUCUUUCAGCGCCACUCCCGAUCUCAAUCCAAUUUGUGAGGUUUACAUAAUUUUUGAGGACGACUCGAUUUGUUGGUCUUGCUUCGCUAAGCUAAGGUAAUCAGGGAUAAUAUGGGGAAUCAGUAAUGAGAGAUUAUUGGAUGUUCAAGAGUAUCUAAAGACUCUUUAUUUUGUUAAAUCAUGUACUUUUAAAUGAACUUAAGACUUAGGGUAUUUUUGAGACGUGUAUGUCACCUUGAAUCCUAUCUUAUAUUAAGUGGAUGCGUUUUGGUUAUGAUAUUCGUAAUAGUGACGCUCCGACCUGCCCCGGGUUGGGGUGUUACAACAAGAGUAUUUGUAUUCCAACAAUUUUCGUUAAACGAAAC
This is a long non-coding RNA of Helianthus annuus (common sunflower), 448 nucleotides long. RefSeq lists it as uncharacterized. Lineage: Eukaryota; Viridiplantae; Streptophyta; Magnoliopsida; Asterales; Asteraceae. The record is from RefSeq and is a predicted model, not a curated record. The transcript is spliced from 3 exons.